UGUACUUAAAGGCAGCACAAUUACAGACAGACUUGAAAACAGGUGCGCGUUCUUCUCCUUCAAGCAUUCAGAUCUUCACCUCUGAAAUCAUGUCAGGUGUUGCUGCGGGCCUGCUGAGGACCGGGCGACUUCUCGCUCUGAGAAAAGCUGUGGUGCUGGUUCAGAAGAGACCUUACAUCCACAGUAAACCUGCUCAGCACAACGUGGGCGUCAUGGAGUCUGUGUUUGUCAUGAGUGUGCUGUCCGUGGCUGUCCUGGGGCCUUCUGGCUGGAUUAUGUCGCAGCUGGAUCAUUAUAAAGCCCGCGACUGAAGUUCUCAAAGGGCUGCUUAUUUAAUCUGACAGGAGCGAAAUAAAUGUUCUCGCCUUAC
This is a long non-coding RNA of Synchiropus splendidus (mandarinfish), 370 nucleotides long. RefSeq lists it as uncharacterized. Lineage: Eukaryota; Metazoa; Chordata; Actinopteri; Syngnathiformes; Callionymidae. The transcript is spliced from 2 exons. The record is from RefSeq and is a predicted model, not a curated record.